This 505-nucleotide ribosomal RNA is filed under the name uncultured bacterium. Its description in RNAcentral is "partial 16S ribosomal RNA". It matches the Rfam family "Bacterial small subunit ribosomal RNA", at positions 28 to 507 of the family's 1533-position model. The record is from RNAcentral.
GACGAACGCUGGCGGCGUGCCUAAUACAUGCAAGUAGAACGCACAGUUUAUACCGUAGCUUGCUACACCAUAGACUGUGAGUUGCGAACGGGUGAGUAACGCGUAGGUAACCUGCCUGGUAGCGGGGGAUAACUAUUGGAAACGAUAGCUAAUACCGCAUAAUAUUAAUUAUUGCAUGAUAAUAAAUUGAAAGGUGCAAUUGCACCACUACCAGAUGGACCUGCGUUGUAUUAGCUAGUAGGUGAGGUAACGGCUCACCUAGGCGACGAUACAUAGCCGACCUGGGAGGGUGGUCGGCCACACUGGGACUUGGACACGGCCCAGACUCCUACGGGAGGCAGCAGUAGGGAAUCUUCGGCAAUGGACGAAAGGCUGACCGAGCAACGCCGCGUGAGUGGAGAAGGUUUUCGGAUCGGAAAGCUCGGUUGUAAGAGAAGAACGGGUGUGAGAGUGGAAAGUACACACUGUGACGGUAUCUUACCAGAAAGGGACGGCUAACUACGUG